Molecule: long non-coding RNA, 811 nt
Organism: Fundulus heteroclitus (mummichog)
Lineage: Eukaryota; Metazoa; Chordata; Actinopteri; Cyprinodontiformes; Fundulidae
Exons: 3
Source: RefSeq, a predicted model, not a curated record
CAGAAACUCCUGAACACUCAGAUGGACGAAGCAGAACACCUUGUCCUGAUGUACUGAAGGUUCCUCAUCAGUGAUGCAGAAAACUUCAUGUCUACAGAGUGUUGAUCAGUCAGAGAAAUGAUUGAAGUGAAACAGAUCUUACCAUCAUGAUGCUGACCAACAGCUCACCAAUCAUCCCUCCUGAUGGAGACCAGCACCAUCUAUCUCCACCUCUGAGAACCUGCUGAUGUCUCCUGAGCCUCCACAAUCAUUACAGCAUCUAAAUGACUUUAACAAACUGAAUUAUGUCUUCUUGACAGAAACACAGCAGAAGAGAAAAUCCACAACUUGCUGCCUGGAUUUGUUCCCUCUGAGUUUCUAAAAGCAGUUUUUAGCUGUGAUGCCGCUGAAAUAUUACAGAUAGUAAAUACUUCCCUCCAGUUAGUUUGUUUUCUAAAGGCUGAAAACUGCAGAGAUCAAACCUCUGUUAGAGAAACCAACUCUAGAUCCAUGGAUAAUAAGUCCCUACAGGAUCAGAACUAAUCCACUGGUUCUGGAAAAGAUCAUUGAAAAUGGUUGUGAUGAACAAAUGUAUGACUUUCUGAUGAAAUGAAUCUCUUCAGUGAUUUCUAGUCAGGCUUCAGACCACAGCACAGAGACUGCACUGCUAAACGUUUACAAUGAUGCUCAUCUUGACUGGAAUGGCUCCAGAACUCCUCUGUUGGUUCUACUGGAUCUCAGUUCUGCUGAACACAGUUCAUCACAACAUGUUGAUGAUCCAACUAGAACACUGGCUGGAUUAUCUGGUUCUGGGCUAAACUGGUUCACACCA